GAUGAACGCUGGCGGCGUGCUUAACACAUGCAAGUCGAACGGGAUCCCAGGAGCGUUUUUCGUUUUUUGGUGAGAGUGGCGAACGGGUGAGUAACACGUGAGUAACCUGUCCUUUUCUUUGGGAUAAGCUCCUGAAAGGGUGUUUAAUACCUUAUGUUCUGUCUGCCUCGCAUGGGGGGGGUGGGAAAGAUUUUUUCGGUGAAGGGUGGGCUCGCGGUCUAUCAGCUUGUUGGUGGGGUGAUGGCUUACCAAGGCUUUGACGGGUAGCCGGCCUGAGCGGGUUGUCGGUCAGAUUGGGACUGGGGUGCGGCCGAGACGCCUGCGGGAGGCAGCGGUGGGAGAUGUGGCGAAUGGGGCGCAAGCGUGAUGAGGCGGCGCCGCGAGGGGGGGGAAGGCGGUGGGGUUGUAUGCUUCGUUGGCUGGUAACAAGGCGGAUCUUUGGGGUGUGUAGAGAGUGGGGAUUGAUGCGCGCCGGCAAACUACG
RNAcentral lists this ribosomal RNA (484 nucleotides) under uncultured bacterium. RNAcentral's name for it is "partial 16S ribosomal RNA". It matches the Rfam family "Bacterial small subunit ribosomal RNA", at positions 28 to 505 of the family's 1533-position model. The record is from RNAcentral.